AGUGAACGCUGGCGGUAGGCCUAACACAUGCAAGUCGAACGGCAGCACAGUAAGAGCUUGCUCUUACGGGUGGCGAGUGGCGGACGGGUGAGGAAUACAUCGGAAUCUACUUUUUCGUGGGGGAUAACGUAGGGAAACUUACGCUAAUACCGCAUACGACCUACGGGUGAAAGCAGGGGAUCUUCUGACCUUGCGCGAUUGAAUGAGCCGAUGUCGGAUUAGCUAGUUGGCGGGGUAAAGGCCCACCAAGGCGACGAUCCGUAGCUGGUCUGAGAGGAUGAUCAGCCACACUGGAACUGAGACACGGUCCAGACUCCUACGGGAGGCAGCAGUGGGGAAUAUUGGACAAUGGGCGCAAGCCUGAUCCAGCCAUACCGCGUGGGUGAAGAAGGCCUUCGGGUUGUAAAGCCCUUUUGUUGGGAAAGAAAAGCAGCAGGUUAAUACCCCGCUGUUCCGACGGUACCCAAAGAAUAAGCACCGGCUAACUUCGUG
RNAcentral lists this ribosomal RNA (492 nucleotides) under uncultured bacterium. Its description in RNAcentral is "partial 16S ribosomal RNA". It matches the Rfam family "Bacterial small subunit ribosomal RNA", at positions 29 to 507 of the family's 1533-position model. The record is from RNAcentral.